Long non-coding RNA from Esox lucius (northern pike), 670 nucleotides. The record is from Ensembl. NCBI's taxonomy places the organism in Eukaryota, Metazoa, Chordata, Actinopteri, Esociformes, Esocidae.
CACCACCAUUCGGACUCAACCACCUCAGCACUUAUCUGACAAACAACAUUCAUCAAUAAUCACCGCCUUUCUGGCUUAGUCACCAGUUUAAUAUUUUCCAAGGGACUCUUUAAACCAUUGUUUUGUUUUCUGACUGGAAUUAGAAGAUUUUGCUCUGUGAAGACACAUGGAGGUUGUGACUGGACUAGUGUUGCUGAUGUUAAGAGGACUGUCUGAUGCCACAGUGACCACCUGUAAUGCUACUCAGAAGUCAUCACAGUGUUUUGUUGCUUUGGGUGGAACUCUGGAUCUUAAGCUAAUGACGAGUGUCAGUGGAUGUGACCUGCGGUUUAAGAAAAACCGUACUCAAGGUCCUGAACAGAUAUUUAUCAUGAAAAAAAACAAGUGUCCAUCAAAGGACCCACUGAAGGUAGAUCAGAGUUCUUUAUGAACAAUGGGACCUUCAGGUUAACCAAUGUUGAGAGGGCUGAUUCUGGACAAUACAUCCUGGAGGUCUACAAUUCUAAUGGGUCAAGUUUAGGAACCACAAUAAUACAACUGGAUAUCAAAGGCAAGUAACAAAAUAGUAAUGUUAACAAUAUUUUGUUUGCUGUUUUCUAUUGUUUAAUAUAUAAAUAAUAAGUGAUAAUGAUAAUUAUAAAACAGAUGUAUUGUUUUCAUUUGACACAAC